RNAcentral lists this ribosomal RNA (236 nucleotides) under uncultured bacterium. RNAcentral's name for it is "partial 16S ribosomal RNA". It matches the Rfam family "Bacterial small subunit ribosomal RNA", at positions 524 to 754 of the family's 1533-position model. The record is from RNAcentral.
GACAGAGGGUGCAAACGUUGUUCGGAAUCACUGGGCGUAAAGGGUGCGUAGGCGGGUUUUUAAGUCAGAGGUGAAAUCCUGGAGCUCAACUCCAGAACUGCCUUUGAUACUGAAAGUCUUUGAGUAUGGGAGAGGUGAGUGGAACUGCGAGUGUAGAGGUGAAAAUUCGUAGAUAUUCGCAAGAAACACCAGUGGCGAAGGCGGCUCACUGGCCCCAUAACUGACGCUGAGGGCAC